CCUACGGGAUGCAGCAGUGAGGAAUAUUGGUCAAUGGACGAGAGUCUGAACCAGCCAAGUAGCGUGAAGGAUGACUGCCCUAUGGGUUGUAAACUUCUUUUAUAUGGGAAUAAAACGUUCCACGUGUGGGAUUUUGUAUGUACCAUAUGAAUAAGGAUCGGCUAACUCCGUGCCAGCAGCCGCGGUAAUACGGAGGAUCCGAGCGUUAUCCGGAUUUAUUGGGUUUAAAGGGAGCGUAGGUGGAUUGUUAAGUCAGUUGUGAAAGUUUGCGGCUCAACCGUAAAAUUGCAGUUGAAACUGGCAGUCUUGAGUACAGUAGAGGUGGGCGGAAUUCGUGGUGUAGCGGUGAAAUGCUUAGAUAUCACGAAGAACUCCGAUGGCGAAGGCAGUUCACUGGACUGCAACUGACACUGAGGCUCGAAAGUGUGGGUAUCAAACAGGAUUAGAUACCCCUGUAGUC
This 460-nucleotide ribosomal RNA is filed under the name uncultured bacterium. RNAcentral describes it as "partial 16S ribosomal RNA". It matches the Rfam family "Bacterial small subunit ribosomal RNA", at positions 338 to 795 of the family's 1533-position model. The record is from RNAcentral.